ACCCCCGUGAGGAUGCCCUCAACUUCUUAUGAAAAUGAGGGGCCGGUAUCAGGCACGCACCGCAGCCCAAGACACCUUGUUAAGCCACACCCCCAAGGGUAUUCAGCAGUAAUAGACCUUAAGCCAUAAGCGAAAGCUUGACUUAGUUAAGGUUAUUUAAGAGCCGGUAAAACUCGUGCCAGCCACCGCGGUUAUACGAGAGGCCCAAGUUAACAGCCUCCGGCGUAAAGCGUGGACAAGGGUAAAAACAACUAAAGCCGAACGUCCUCUUAGCAGUUAUACGCAUUCGAAGGAACGAAGCCCUACCACGAAAGUGGCUUUAUUUCACCUGAUUCCACGACAGCUAAGGAACAAACUGGGAUUAGAUACCCCACUAUGCUUAGCCGUAAACCAUGAUAUCUAAAAUACAACUGAUAUCCGCCAGGGUACUACGAGCACUAGCUUAAAACCCAAAGGACUUGGCGGUUUUUCAGAUCCCCCUAGAGGAGCCUGUCCUAUAACCGAUAAUCCCCGUUAAACCUCACCACCCCUUGUUAAUCCCGUUUAUAUACCACCGUCGCCAGCUUACCCUGUGAAGGUUUAAUAGUAAGCAAAACGGGCACAGCCCAGAACGUCAGGUCGAGGUGUAGUGUAUGGGGUGGGAAGAGAUGGGCUACAUUUCCUAAACUAGGACACCACGGACAACACUAUGAAAUACAGUACCCGAAGGUGGAUUUAGCAGUAAGAAGAAAGCAGAGUGUUCUUCUGAAGUAGGCUCUGAGAUGCGUACACACCGCCCGUCACUCUCCCCGAGUUAAUCACCAUUCUUACCUAAAAUAAAGAACAAUAACACAAGGGGGGACAAGUCGUAACAUGGUAAGUGUACUGGAAAGUGCACUUGGAAAAAAU
This 888-nucleotide non-coding RNA is filed under the name Polyipnus matsubarai. RNAcentral's name for it is "partial 12S ribosomal RNA". It matches the Rfam family "Bacterial small subunit ribosomal RNA". Lineage: Eukaryota; Metazoa; Chordata; Actinopteri; Stomiiformes; Sternoptychidae. The record is from RNAcentral.